UUGUGUUGGUGUUCACUGCGUAAGAAGAAGUCGGUGAGUUUUUUGAAAGAGGGCAAAGAGUGAUCUCGCCGAUGGACGACGGCGAAGGCAUAUCUCAUGACGGAUGAGUUACAGAGAGAGGGGGUUUCAUUCUUCUUAGACCUGCUCUGAUGCUCACUCGCGGCCCUGGAGAAAUCAAUCACCAUCGGACCUCUCUCUCUCUCCCUUCCCUCCUUUGGUGGUGUUUUGUUUGUGCGCUCCGGUGAAGAUCCCAGUGGAGGAAGAGCUUCUUUUUUAGGGUUAGAGAGAGUAAACCCUUACUUAAGACGACUUCAGGACAGAGCAAAGUCUCAGAUCGUACCACCUGAAGCUUUUCAAGUCUGUUUGGUUUUUUCUUUGAAGGUAGCUGCUCAUCAAAUCAGUCCUUGGAGGAGGAGAACUAGUUCAUAGUCGAGCUACCCCCAUAUUAACUUCUAUUGGUCUGUCGACUGUUGCAUGCUUCUCUCCAUGAUGCCAGCUGAGGUCGUGGGCCAUAAAUAUAGAUCAUACUGAUCAACUAUGUUAAUCUCUUGCUAUCCUUACAGAGUGGACAAAGAGGUUUGACUGCUUAAGAGCCCAUCCGUGUGUAUCCACAGGACACCUAACAGAGGAAGACGGUGGAUGCCGAUUACAUAUUGAGAGAAAGUUCAUUUUGUUCUGUACGGCUCUAAAUUACAUAUGCUUGGAGAAGGUCCUGAGACAACCCCUGCAAAUUUCAUUUCAUACCAGCUGAAGCUCUAAAGGUACUCAUCAAAUCAGUCCUCGGAGGAGGAGAAUUAGUUCAGAGUUUCCACAGGAGUUACCCCCAAAUUAACUUCUAUUGGUCUGUCGACUGUUGCAUGCUUCUCUCCAUGAUGCCAGCGUAGGGUGGAAACAGAGGUUUGACUACAUGGGAGCCCUUCCAUUGUAUAUCCCAGGACACCUCAAGGAGAUUUUUGAUGCAGAACAUCCAAAGGAGAUGCUUCGAUUUAUCUAUUGUCAACAGAGCGAAGACGGUUGAUGGGGAUUACCCAUUGAGAGAAAGAGCGUUUCAUAUCGUACCAGCUGAAGCUUCUAAGAUACUCGGAAUCUUUGAUUGGUCUGGAACCAGCCCGUUGCUUCUUGAGAUCUGGUUGCUACCUUUUUUCCUUCCAAUCUACCAAGAUAUGUUCUUUAUAUACUUAUUUUGGAGAUUAUACCCUGUAGAUCAACUUGAAACUGCUAUAUACAUUUAUGUUUGUAGAUUUUUAUGGGACUCUCUUCACAUCUUUGUGGAGCCUUUCCUUGCAAGGUGGCCGUUCAACAAGCUUGUAAGAGAAAGGGCUCUUCGGGUGGCAAUGGAACACGUUAAUGAUGAGGACGCAAAUAGCCAUUACAUUUCCAGAAAUGUCUUGAAAAAGUUCUGUGCAUGAUUGCUUGUUGGAUUGAGAAACCGAAUGGAGAUCAGUUUAAGAAACAUCUUGCUAGAAUUCCGGACUUCAUGUGCAUAGCUGAAGACCGACUGAAAAUAGCUUUAAAAGUCAACUUUGGGAGACAGGGUUUUCGAUUCAAGCUUUACUUGCUAGUGGUCUUUGUCUCUCUCUCUCUCUCUCAGUUCAAUUGCAUCGGUUUGUUUUAGAAGCAAUUCCGACUUGUGGAUUUCUUCUUCUAGGGUUUGGUUUGUUUUGAAAGCAAAGUCUAUGAUCCGAUCAUCAUCGCUCGCUCCCACACUGCUUCUGAAUCUUCACUCCUCCUAGGGAAUGGGAUCAUUGUCUCUUGUUGCUUGCAUUAGUAGUGAUGCUAAAGAUGGAAUUGUCUAUUAUCAUAUAAUUUGAUAAUGAUGCAGCAGAGGACCGAGAGAGAGAUGUUCAUGUUAAAAUAUGGCUUGGAGACAACGCAGCAGGUCGCGCGUUCUCUCUUGAUUCCUAGUUUGCAGAAUGCUAACUGUCACUAAGAUCCCAAAUCAUGAGAGGCUAUAAAGAUUUCUUUACCUCCAGAAGCUUCUUAUCGACAACAGUCUUCCUGAUAUGUCGUCUCAGUCUGAUUUUGGAAACCAAUUAUUUGUUUUAAGGUUUCUGCUUAUGGAGCGACGUGGUUCUGGCGAAAGGUACAUUUGAUCAUUAUAAAAUGAUGACAAAGUCUCAGUCUGAUUUUGGAAACCAAUUAUUUGUUUUAAGCUUGCUUAUGGCCUGACGUGGUUACAUAUGGGGAAGAGUACAUUAUUUAAUCAUUACACCAUGAUGACAAGCUGAUUUCAUCAUCAAAGAGAGUGCCUCUUCUCACACCUGUUUGCGGAACAGCUUCUGUUGGCAAGUCCACUAAUAGCUAGUGGCUACACAACUUGGUCAGAGACUAAACUUGCCAAACGUCUUACAGACGGGCAUGGCAUAUGAGCUUCGUCGAACAGAAACUGAGUACGUUUUUUCUCCUUUUUAAUGAUGGACAUGCUAUGAGGAAGAUAUAUCCAAGCAUGUCGAGUUCCCUUUGGAGUUGGACUUUGCUUCCCUUACAUGAGCAAUAGUAACCAAGAUUCCCAAUUUCUACAAAAUACCAUCUUUCUGCCAUUGUGGAGCAUCUUGGGAAUAUAUAUACCAUCUUUUGCUCAUUACUCCUUUUAUGCGAGGUCAGCAUAAGGGCAGUCUGGUGCCAAAGAAGUCAACUUUCCCUUCUGGUACUAAAGCGCCUGCGGAUCAUGUUCACAGCAAGGGCCUUAAGCUCUGGAUUUACUCAGAUGCCGGCAGCACCAUUCCAGGUUCUUUAGGCCAUGAGGAGCAUGGUGCCAAAUACCUUUACAGAAUGGGUUGGGAGUGCACUUUCGGAUCCAUAUCUUCCAUCUGCAGCUGCAUUGAAUGGUUUAGCUGGGCCACUCCAUGGUUAGGUUAAUCAGGAAGGUCUGCUGCUGUGGAUCAGAUCAGUUGUCACAAUUGCCAAAAAUGUGUUUUGAAAGCAAGUUUGUUUUCUGAUCAUCGCUCCCCUGGCCUCUGAAUUCAUACUAGUGGAAUUUUUCAUCUAGGGUUGUUUUACAUAUGCUUGGAGAAGGUCCUGAGACAAUCCACCCUUACAAAUUUCAUAUCGUACUAGGAGCAAUACUUGGGUUCACUCCUACGAGUGAACCUUUUCAUUCACCCCUUUAUAAAAUAAGGAAAUAAAAUUUGUAUAUAUUAUUAUAAAAUUAAAAACUUAAACUGUUCUUUAAUAAAUCCA
Molecule: non-coding RNA, 3180 nt
Organism: Camelina sativa (false flax)
Lineage: Eukaryota; Viridiplantae; Streptophyta; Magnoliopsida; Brassicales; Brassicaceae
Source: RefSeq, a predicted model, not a curated record